Non-coding RNA from Pelobates cultripes (western spadefoot toad), 377 nucleotides. The record is from the annotation of a GenBank genome assembly. Lineage: Eukaryota; Metazoa; Chordata; Amphibia; Anura; Pelobatidae.
UUCUAUCACAGGCGCUGCUCCCUGAUCCUACUAUUUACAUCCAUUGUACCACCAGAAAAGAAGAGACUCUGGUUUUUGGGACGUUUCAGCAGCCACAUACUACAAUUACAAGUACUGAUAUUCCACCUACCCCUCUAUUCAUCUGGAUAUUUGUCAGUUUGUCAGUCCAUUAAGCCCCCGAGAUGGCUGUCCAAGGUAGGGUAAAGGAGGGUGGCCGAAAUAGCAAAGACUAGAGGCAGGCAGGCGGGUAGCAAGGAAGCUGUGAUCUUCAAGCUUUGCUGUGAUGCCGGGAGCUGGAAUAUGAUAUCACUUCACCCCCGGCAUUGCUAAACAGUGUUUGUGAGUGUGUGUCUGUAAGUUUGUGUCAAAUCAGUGAG